Molecule: long non-coding RNA, 883 nt
Organism: Medicago truncatula (barrel medic)
Lineage: Eukaryota; Viridiplantae; Streptophyta; Magnoliopsida; Fabales; Fabaceae
Exons: 3
Source: RefSeq, a predicted model, not a curated record
UACACUACAAAUUAAUGCCCCGUCACUUGAAGUUCUUUCUCUUGUUGAUUAUUCAUCGGCUCCUAGACAAUAUGAAUAUACAAACUUGUCCAAUCUUGACGAAGCUUCUAUUUUCAUUUGUAAGCGUGUGGAUUUUAACAAUUUGUAUACAUUCUUGAAAGGACUUUCUAAUGUCAAAUCAUUGGCUCUCAGUUCUAAAACUUUUCAUUUUCUCAGCAUGGAGGACAAACUUGACAACUUACAUCUUCUCACUUUUCACAAUUUAUUAUUUUUAUGGGUUGAAAUAUCUAAGAAUUGGAGUUGGAAUAUGCUCGUCAGCUUUCUACAGAAUGCUCCAAAACUUAAGGAUCUUGCAAUUACGAGAAACAUUGAAAUCAAUUCCCGAAGAAAGGAGGUUGGGAACCCGAGUUGGGUGGAGCCAUUGAUAUCUCCCACAUGUCUUAGAAGCAGUCUCAUUACAUUUGAAUUUGUUGGAAUUCAAAACAUAAAAACUGAAUUGGACUUUACGCGAUAUAUUGUAAGUCACUCAAGUAAGUUACAAAAGGUAAAGAUUUUCACACCCACUUCAAAAUAAAGAAGAGUUGAAAAAAGUUUACGCAAGGGGACAAAGAAAUCCUCCGUACUAGUAUGGGUACGAAGUUUACACACUUUCUUUUCUUCCAUACAGAGUCUGUAUACUUUCUUUUUUAAUGAAAAAGGUUGGCAUGUUAAUAUUUGCUGGUAUGAUGAUGUGGGGUGGUGAUAGAACUUUCAUCCUCUCAUUGUUCUAGACAUUAUUUUCGACCAUCAACACAACUUUAUAUCUCCUGAAUUUUUUCGUGGUUGAGAAUAAGACUGUUUUUCUUAAAAUAAGUAAAUUAUAUCCUCUUAAAUUUUUUGAAUA